AUACGGAGGGAGCGAGCGUUAAUCGGAAUUACUGGGCGUAAAGCGCGCGUAGGCGGCUUUGUAAGUCGGAUGUGAAAGCCCUGGGCUCAACCUGGGAAUUGCAUUCGAUACUGCAUGGCUAGAGUAUGGUAGAGGGAAGUGGAAUUUCCGGUGUAGCGGUGAAAUGCGUAGAUAUCGGAAGGAACACCGGUGGCGAAGGCGACUUCCUGGGCCAAUACUGACGCUGAGGCGCGAAAGCGUGGGUAGCAAACAGAAUUAGAAACCCGGGUAGUCC
This 274-nucleotide ribosomal RNA is filed under the name uncultured bacterium. RNAcentral's name for it is "partial 16S ribosomal RNA". It matches the Rfam family "Bacterial small subunit ribosomal RNA", at positions 523 to 796 of the family's 1533-position model. The record is from RNAcentral.